Molecule: long non-coding RNA, 351 nt
Filed under: Dromaius novaehollandiae (emu)
Lineage: Eukaryota; Metazoa; Chordata; Aves; Casuariiformes; Dromaiidae
Description: lncRNA (ENSDNVG00000001456.1)
Source: RNAcentral
UGAAUCGUAGUACUGAGCCAGGCUGUGGAUUCAGGUAGCAUCUCCCCAAGGCUGUGUGUGGUUGCCUGUCCGACGCAGAAUCAGGCUGCUGCGCUCCGAAGUCUAGGCCCCUGCUGCCAUUUCAGCUGUGUUUGGAGUUGAGCAGGCUCCUCUUGCACUGUGAAUUCUACCAUGAACAGCAAGCAGCUGUGGCAAGGACUUGCUGCACCAAGGACUAUACUUGCAUCACAAACAAAGAGGAAGAGGGAAGCUUAAGAAACACCAUCAACUCUGAGUUAAAGGGGAUUCCAAAAGUGAUACAGUGCUGUGGAUAAUGCACACUGAAUAAAGUACCCCAAAUGUAAUCUUGCA